UGGGUUGCUCUGGUUGGAAGACUAGUGAUUUUGUUGUUGUUUAUGGGCGAACAACGAGUCACUGGUUUCCUAACCAGCGCAAGCUC
This is a non-coding RNA of Trichuris suis (pig whipworm), 86 nucleotides long. The record is from Rfam. NCBI's taxonomy places the organism in Eukaryota, Metazoa, Nematoda, Enoplea, Trichinellida, Trichuridae.